AAGCUCUUAGUUGAAUUUCGGGAUCACUUUAUCGGUCGUGCCUCGGUAUGAACUGGUACAAUUGGUUUCUCCCUUCUGACGAAGCAUGAUGUCAUUAAUUUGGUGUUGUGGGGAGUCAGGACUGUUACUUUGAAAAAAUUAGAGUGUUUAAAGCAAGCUCACGCUUGAAUACAUUAGCAUGGAAUAAUGAAAUAGGACGUUCGAACCUAUUUUGUUGGUUUCUAGGUACAACGUAAUGAUUAAUAGGGAUAGUUGGG
RNAcentral lists this ribosomal RNA (257 nucleotides) under uncultured Glomeraceae. Its description in RNAcentral is "partial small subunit ribosomal RNA". It matches the Rfam family "Eukaryotic small subunit ribosomal RNA", at positions 624 to 886 of the family's 1831-position model. Lineage: Eukaryota; Fungi; Glomeromycota; Glomeromycetes; Glomerales; Glomeraceae. The record is from RNAcentral.